GACAAUGGUGUUUACUUCAUUGAAUAUCUGAAUUCACAUAUUCACUGACAUAAACUCACUGGAUUACAAGGGAAUUUACAAUGCCUGACAUAUAAUCUGAAUUCAUAGUAACAACUUCAAUCAAUUACAACGGGGAAUUGCAGUUCUUCCUCUUCCUCUGCACCUUCAAGCGUCAUCGCAGCUUCUCGGCUCCCUUCCUCCUGCAGAGAAAUCAGGAGUGCCCAUUUUGCCACGCUGGGAAAUGACAUGACCAAGGAGGAGAAUAAUCAAUACUUCAAAGUAGCAAGGAGGAGAAGAAUCAAUAAUUGAAACAAAAGAGAAAGGGCUUACCCAUGGUUUUUAUCCAUGCCAUUAUCAAUACUUCAAAACUUCCAGCAAGACAUUCAGAAUACUAG
Molecule: long non-coding RNA, 395 nt
Filed under: Triticum aestivum (bread wheat)
Lineage: Eukaryota; Viridiplantae; Streptophyta; Magnoliopsida; Poales; Poaceae
Description: long non-coding RNA (TAES_LNC018361)
Source: RNAcentral